GAUGAACGCUGGCGGCGUGCUUAACACAUGCAAGUCGAACGAAGCAUUUGCGACAGAUUUUUUCGGAAUGAAGUUGCUUAUGACUGAGUGGCGGACGGGUGAGUAACGCGUGGGUAACCUGCCUUGUACUGGGGGAUAGCAGCUGGAAACGGCUGGUAAUACCGCAUAAGCGCACAAUGUUGCAUGACAUGGUGUGAAAAACUCCGGUGGUAUAAGAUGGACCCGCGUCUGAUUGGCUAGUUGGUGAGAUAACAGCCCACCAAGGCGACGAUCAGUAGCCGACCUGAGAGGGUGACCGGCCACAUUGGGACUGAGACACGGCCCAGACUCCUACGGGAGGCAGCAGUGGGGAAUAUUGCACAAUGGAGGAAACUCUGAUGCAGCGACGCCGCGUGAGUGAAGAAGUAAUUCGUUAUGUAAAGCUCUAUCAGCAGGGAAGAUAGUGACGGUACCUGACGAAGAAGCUCCGGCUAAAUACGUG
RNAcentral lists this ribosomal RNA (481 nucleotides) under uncultured bacterium. RNAcentral's name for it is "partial 16S ribosomal RNA". It matches the Rfam family "Bacterial small subunit ribosomal RNA", at positions 28 to 507 of the family's 1533-position model. The record is from RNAcentral.